RNAcentral lists this ribosomal RNA (450 nucleotides) under uncultured bacterium. Its description in RNAcentral is "partial 16S ribosomal RNA". It matches the Rfam family "Bacterial small subunit ribosomal RNA", at positions 338 to 795 of the family's 1533-position model. The record is from RNAcentral.
CCUACGGGGGGCUGCAGUAAGGAAUAUUGGUCAAUGGACGAAAGUCUGAACCAGCCAUCCCGCGUGCAGGAUGAAAGCCCUAUGGGUUGUAAACUGCUUUUAGCAGAGAAGAAAAGCUUUCAUUAAUGAGAGUCUGACGGUAUCUGCAGAAUAAGCACCGGCUAACUCCGUGCCAGCAGCCGCGGUAAUACGGAGGGUGCGGGAAUUAUCCGGUAUAACGGGUGUUAAAGGGUGCGAAGAAGUCAGUGGAGAAAUCGUGUCGCUUAACGAGAAAAUUGCCAAUGAUACUGGUACUCUUGAAUUGGGUUGAGGUUAGCGGAAUGUGACAUGUAGCGGUGAAAUGCAUAGAUAUGUCAUGGAACACCAAUUGCGAAGGCAGCUAACUGGGCCUUGAUUGACGCUGAGGCACGAAAGCGUGGGUAGCGAACAGGAUUAGAUACCCCGGUAGUC